UACGAAGGGGGCUAGCGUUGUUCGGAAUUACUGGGCGUAAAGCGCAUGUAGGCGGUUUUUUAAGUCAGAUGUGAAAGCCCCGGGCUCAACCUGGGAAUUGCAUUUGAAACUGGGGAACUAGAGUGUGUGAGAGGGGGGUAGAAUUCCAAGUGUAGCGGUGAAAUGCGUAGAGAUUUGGAGGAAUACCAGUGGCGAAGGCGGCCCCCUGGCACAACACUGACGCUCAGGUGCGAAAGCGUGGGGAGCAAACAGG
RNAcentral lists this ribosomal RNA (253 nucleotides) under uncultured bacterium. RNAcentral describes it as "partial 16S ribosomal RNA". It matches the Rfam family "Bacterial small subunit ribosomal RNA", at positions 524 to 776 of the family's 1533-position model. The record is from RNAcentral.